Ipomoea nil (Japanese morning glory) is the source of this 240-nucleotide long non-coding RNA. RefSeq lists it as uncharacterized. The transcript is spliced from 2 exons. NCBI's taxonomy places the organism in Eukaryota, Viridiplantae, Streptophyta, Magnoliopsida, Solanales, Convolvulaceae. The record is from RefSeq and is a predicted model, not a curated record.
UCUGCUGCCGUCCUAAUCUUCUUUGUCUCCAAUACUUGUUCUAUGAGGUUAACAUACUUCUGCUCUUCACCAACACCAAAUUUCUUUAUCAAUUUUUGGAUUUAAUUUGCAUUUUCUAAGAUUGAAAACUUGUGUGCAAUUUUUUUUUUUCCACUAAAGCUGAACUGUUUGUAGUUUCUCAAGAUUUACAAAUCCCAAUCUGAUAUGAGACAACUGAAAAAGGAAAAAAAAAAAAAAAAA